Aricia agestis (brown argus) is the source of this 434-nucleotide long non-coding RNA. RefSeq lists it as uncharacterized. NCBI's taxonomy places the organism in Eukaryota, Metazoa, Arthropoda, Insecta, Lepidoptera, Lycaenidae. The record is from RefSeq and is a predicted model, not a curated record. The transcript has 3 exons.
AUGAUUGACGACUGCGAGCGUGGAAUAUAGGUUUACACCUUGGGGAGGAAUAUGCACCUGUUAUACUUUGGAAGUUUUACUAAAACUGUGCCACAAUGGCAAAGGAACCUCUGCACUCCAGUUGAUGGACGGCUACAACAGCUCCUAUGAGCUAUGCAACAACCUUGUACUCAACACUCUACAUGUUCCAGUAAGGAAAGGAGAAUGAGGAUUUUUACAAAAAAUUCUGUAUAUUCAGAAGUAUAUUAAUCCACCUAGAAGAGUACAUGUAGCAAAAGAAGUGCAUUGUAGCAGACAGUUUGCGGGCAUAAAGGAGAACUUGAUGAAUGAAAUAUCUGAUAUUUUGGGAAUGUGUUUGUGUUGCUGCAAAUUUGCCGCAAUACCACUUAUAUUUUAUAAUAAUAUUGUGGCAAGAUUAAAAUAAUUAUUAUUGA